This is a long non-coding RNA of Erpetoichthys calabaricus (reedfish), 907 nucleotides long. RefSeq lists it as uncharacterized. The transcript has 3 exons. The record is from RefSeq and is a predicted model, not a curated record. Lineage: Eukaryota; Metazoa; Chordata; Cladistia; Polypteriformes; Polypteridae.
GUUCGUGACAUCCAUGAGCCUCCUGAGGACUACAGACAAGAAGUCAAUAUUGUGGAAUUUUGGGAUUCUGUUUGCCUUGAGAUGAUUUCCCAAGCGUUUCCCACAGCACAAGAGAAAACCCACUUGCAGUCCACCCUUGUUUUGAAUUCUGGGCCCCCAUACCAGAAAGUCUAGCAUUGUGUUAAACACUGAAUGCGAAAAGUUGCACCGUCCAAAACCUGCAGAAUAUGCUGAUGUUGUAACAGAAGACAGACUUUUAAAUGAAGUCAUGAAGUUAAAGGUGGUUGGGCAGUGAUGAUGUGCCCAUGUGGCAUCAUCUACAGUGUGAAGUUUUGUCUGCGAGCAGAAAGCCCAAGAGACUCUAUGGACCUGCUUUUAUCUUGGCAAUACAUGCCCAGUAUCGUAGUUUAUGAUUUUGCUAGAGGUUUAGCAACACAUGGUAAUCUCCGGGAACCAGAGAAAUUGCCCUUCAGUCCUCAUGAGGGAAGACUCAUGGAGCCCUCAGAAAACAACAUAAAACUGGAAAAGGAGAAGAAACUGUCUAUCCGUCUCCCUUGGCUUCAGGAAAGAAAGAAGAAUCCAGAAGUGGACGGUCAUCCGGUCACCGGAUCUGCUGAGCAUUAUGUCCUAUAUGACACUCUGCAUGAAGCCAACACAAAAGAUGACCGGGGUAUGCUCUGCAGAAUCAACCUGGUACCACGGCUUGUUGACCACUUGAAUAGUUAAGUCGCAGAACAAUUCUUUUCCAAAAUGGCACGGGACAAUUAUUUUUUAAACCUGAUGUCCCCGACAACCCAGGUUUGUGGCAUACGUUCCAUUAUACACCAUGAAAAUGAACAGAAGAAUAAAGGCCUCACUGACAUGGUCCAAAAAGGACUGGGGCAAAAGAAGCUUUCUUUGUCUGCAC